AGCAGCCGCGGUAAUUCCAGCUCCAAUAGCGUAUAUUAAAGUUGUUGCAGUUAAAAAGCUCGUAGUUGAAUUUCGGGAUCAAUAUGUUGGUCGUGCCUUGGUACGUACUGGCAUUAUCGAUUCCUACCUUCUGAAGAACCUCGAUGUCAUUAAUUUGGUGUCUUGGGGAAUCAGGACUGUUACUUUGAAAAAUUAGAGUGUUUAAAGCAGGCUCGCGCUUGAAUACAUUAGCAUGGAAUAAUGAAAUAGGACGUUUGAUUCUAUUUUGUUGGUUUCUAGGAUCGACGUAAUGAUUAAUAGGGAUAGUUGGGGGCAUUAGUAUUCAAUUGUCAGAGGUGAAAUUCUUGGAUUUAUUGAAGACUAACUACUGCGAAAGCAUUUGCCAAGGAUGUUUUCAUUAAUCAAGAACGAAAGUUAGGGGAUCGAAGACGAUCAGAUACCGUCGUAGUCUUAACCAUAAACUAUGCCGACUAGGGAUCGGAUGAUGUUAAUUUUUAAUGUACUCAUUCGGCGCCUUAAC
This 520-nucleotide ribosomal RNA is filed under the name uncultured Glomus. RNAcentral's name for it is "SSU rRNA". It matches the Rfam family "Eukaryotic small subunit ribosomal RNA", at positions 569 to 1092 of the family's 1831-position model. The record is from RNAcentral. Lineage: Eukaryota; Fungi; Glomeromycota; Glomeromycetes; Glomerales; Glomeraceae.